UGAAUACGAGACGCUAAGGCGUCGAAGUAGUGUAUAUCAGACUUCCAAGAAAAGCUUGCACUGUCAUAGAUAAAAAAUGCCUGUACCAUAACCGACACAGGUGGGUAGGUAGAGUAUACUAAGGGGCGCGAGAUAACUCUCUCUAAGGAACUCGGCAAAAUAACUCCGUAACUUCGGGAGAAGGAGUGCCUUAUUUAUAAGGUUGCAAUAACAAGAUCCAAGCAACUGUUUAUCAAAAACACAGGUCUCCGCUAAGUCGUAAGACGAUGUAUGGGGGCUGACGCCUGCCCAGUGCCAGAAGGUUAAAGAAGUUGGUUAGCAAUUGCGAAGCUGAUAACUGAAGCCCUGGUGAACGGCGGCCGUAACAAUAACGGUCCUAAGGUAGCGAAAUUCCUUGUCGGGUAAGUUCCGACCCGCACGAAAGGCGUAAUGAUUUGGAUACUGUCUCGGAGAGGGGCUCGGUGAAAUAGACUUGUCUGUGAAGAUGCGGACUACCUGCACCAGGACAGAAAGACCCUAUGAAGCUUUACUGUAACUUGAAAUUGAAAUUGGACUUUAUUCGCGCAGCAUAGGUGGGAGGCGUUGAUUAUAAUCUUGCGGGAUUAUUGGAGCCAUCAGUGAGAUACCACUCUUGUAAUGUUAGAUUUCUAACUUUGAAUCAUUAUCUGGUCAAAGAACAGUUUCAGGCGGGCAGUUUGACUGGGGCGGUCGCCUCCUAAAUGGUAACGGAGGCGUACAAAGGUUUCCUCUGAACGGUUAGAAAUCGUAUCUAGAGUGUGAAGGCAUAAGGAAGCUUGACUGUGAGACCUACAAGUCGAGCAGGGACGAAAGUCGGUCUUAGUGAUCUGACGGUACUGAGUGGAAAGGCCGUCACUCAACGGAUAAAAGUUACUCUAGGAUAACAGGCUGAUCUCCCCCAAGAGUUCACAUCGACGGGGAGGUUUGGCACCUCGAUGUCGGCUCAUCGCAUCCUGGGGCGGUAGUACGUCCCAAGGGUUGGGCUGUUCGCCCAUGAAAGCGGUACGCGAGCUGGGUUCAGCCCGUCGUGAGACAGUUCGGUCCAUAUCCGGUGUAGGCGUUAGAAUAUUGAGAGGAGCCUUCUUUAGUACGGGAGGACCGAGAAGGACAUACCUCUGGUGUACCAGUUAUCGUGCCAACGGUAAACGCUGGGUAGCUAUGUAUGGAGUGGAUAACCGCUGAAAGCAUCUAAGUGGGAAGCCCACCUCAAGAUAAG
Molecule: ribosomal RNA, 1234 nt
Filed under: metagenome
Description: bacterial LSU rRNA
Rfam family: Bacterial large subunit ribosomal RNA
Source: RNAcentral